AGCGAACGCUGGCGGCAGGCUUAACACAUGCAAGUCGAGCGGGGUGAUGGUGCUUGCACUAUCACUUAGCGGCGGACGGGUGAGUAAUGCUUAGGAAUCUGCCUAUUAGUGGGGGACAACAUCUCGAAAGGGAUGCUAAUACCGCAUACGUCCUACGGGAGAAAGCAGGGGAUCACUUGUGACCUUGCGCUAAUAGAUGAGCCUAAGUCGGAUUAGCUAGUUGGUGGGGUAAAGGCCUACCAAGGCGACGAUCUGUAGCGGGUCUGAGAGGAUGAUCCGCCACACUGGGACUGAGACACGGCCCAGACUCCUACGGGAGGCAGCAGUGGGGAAUAUUGGACAAUGGGGGGAACCCUGAUCCAGCCAUGCCGCGUGUGUGAAGAAGGCCUUAUGGUUGUAAAGCACUUUAAGCGAGGAGGAGGCUCUUUUGGUUAAUACCCAAGAUGAGUGGACGUUACUCGCAGAAUAAGCACCGGCUAACUCUGUGCCAGCCGCCGCGGUAA
This 503-nucleotide ribosomal RNA is filed under the name uncultured bacterium. RNAcentral describes it as "partial 16S ribosomal RNA". It matches the Rfam family "Bacterial small subunit ribosomal RNA", at positions 29 to 523 of the family's 1533-position model. The record is from RNAcentral.